RNAcentral lists this ribosomal RNA (404 nucleotides) under uncultured bacterium. Its description in RNAcentral is "partial 16S ribosomal RNA". It matches the Rfam family "Bacterial small subunit ribosomal RNA", at positions 28 to 526 of the family's 1533-position model. The record is from RNAcentral.
GACGAACGCUGGCGGCGUGCCUAAUACAUGCAAGUAGAACGAGUUGCGAACGGGUGAGUAACGCGUGGUAACCUGCCUCAUAGCGGGGGAUAACUAUUGGAAACGAUAGCUAAUACCGCAUAGAUGGAUGGACCCGCGGUGCAUUAGCUAGUUGGUGAGGUAACGGCUCACCAAGGCCACGAUGCAUAGCCGGCCUGAGAGGGUGAUCGGCCACACUGGACCUGAGACACGGUCAAGACUCCUACGGGAGGCAGCAGUGGGGAAUAUUGCACAAUGGGCGCAAGCCUGAUGCAGCCAUGCCGCGUGUAUGAAGAAGGCCUUCGGGUUGUAAAGUACUUUCAGCGAGGAGGCGUUACUCGCAGAAGAAGCACCGGCUAACUCCGUGCCAGCAGCCGCGGUAAUAC